AGAGUUUGAUCCUGGCUCAGAACGAACGCUGGCGGCAGGCUUAACACAUGCAAGUCGAGCGCAAUACUAUCUUCGGAUAGUGGAGAGCGGCGGACGGGUGAGUAACGCGUGGGAACCUACCCUUUGGUUCGGAAUAACUUUGGGAAACUGAAGCUAAUACCGGAUACGCCCCGUAAGGGGGAAAGAUUUAUUGCCGAAGGAGGGGCCCGCGUUGGAUUAGGUAGUUGGUAGGGUAAUGGCCUACCAAGCCGACGAUCCAUAGCUGUUCUGAGAGGAAGAUCAGCCACACUGGGACUGAGACACGGCCCAGACUCCUACGGGAGGCAGCAGUGGGGAAUCUUGGACAAUGGGGGAAACCCUGAUCCAGCCAUGCCGCGUGAAUGAAGAAGGCCUU
Molecule: ribosomal RNA, 394 nt
Filed under: uncultured bacterium
Lineage: Bacteria
Description: bacterial SSU rRNA
Rfam family: Bacterial small subunit ribosomal RNA
Source: RNAcentral